This 334-nucleotide unclassified non-coding RNA is filed under the name Hevea brasiliensis (rubber tree). The record is from RNAcentral. Lineage: Eukaryota; Viridiplantae; Streptophyta; Magnoliopsida; Malpighiales; Euphorbiaceae.
ACACACACACACACACACACAGAGUGUCUUCUGCUAUUCUAUUACAAGAUCCCAUUACAGUUACGAAAUAAAAAAGCUAUACCUAUUAUGUGUGCAAAGUUCUUCAGCUUUUGGGCCUUGGGGAACAGUCAAGUGAAGAAAUUCAGAUAUGAUUUCAUAAGCUUCACGUUGCACAGAAAAUAAUGGCCAUUCAUGGUGGAAUGUAAGAAAGAAUUUACAUAGCACAUGUGAGGCAUAUGCAUCCAUUAAGUGCUAAGAGAAUGGAUGUGUAGUCAUUGAUGAUUAUAUAACCAUGUGCCAUGAUCUGAGCCUAGUGCACUCAUGUGAAUAUGCA